Molecule: long non-coding RNA, 181 nt
Organism: Saccoglossus kowalevskii
Lineage: Eukaryota; Metazoa; Hemichordata; Enteropneusta; Harrimaniidae
Source: RefSeq, a predicted model, not a curated record
ACUCCGAACAAUAUUUGCCAAUAACUACUGUUCUAUGUCAGAACUUAUUCAGACUAAAACGUGUAAAGAGAUUUAUCAGUUUGCAGCCAAAGAAAACUGUGACCUGCCAGAUUUCCUUGAAGAGCUUAAUAACACUCCGCCAAGGAAAAAGAAAAGAAAACAAAGGUUAUGGUCAAUGCAC